RNAcentral lists this ribosomal RNA (407 nucleotides) under uncultured bacterium. RNAcentral describes it as "partial 16S ribosomal RNA". It matches the Rfam family "Bacterial small subunit ribosomal RNA", at positions 28 to 526 of the family's 1533-position model. The record is from RNAcentral.
GACGAACGCUGGCGGCGUGCCUAAUACAUGCAAGUAGAACGCAGUUGCGCACGGGUGAGUAACGCGUAGGUAACUGCCUCAUAGCGGGGGAUAACUAUUGGAAACGAUAGCUAAUACGGCAUACUGUGCGAUGGACCUGCGUUGUGUUAGCGAGUUGGUGAGGUAAAGGCUCACCAAGGCGACGAUACAUAGCCGACCUGGGGGGGUGAGCUGGCACACUGGGACGGGUACACGGCCCAGAUUCCUACGGGAGGCAGCCGUAGGGCAUCUGCGGCAAUGGAGGGGAGUCUGACCAAGCAACGCCGCGGGAGUGAUGAAGGUUCUCGGAGCGUAAAGCGCUGGUGUUAGAGAAGCGGGAACUAACCAGAAAGGCACGGCUAACUUCGGGCCAGCAGCCGCGGUAAUAC